GACGAACGCUGGCGGCGCGCUUAACACAUGCAAGUCGAACGGAAAGGCCUGCUUUCCCUUGUGGAUUGCGGGUACUCGAGUGGCGAACGGGUGAGUAACACGUGAGUGAUCUGCCCCCAACUUGGGUAUAAGCCUGGGAAACUGGGUCUAAUUCCCGAUAGGACUGCAGGGUGGUGCCUGUGGUGGAAAACGAUUUUCUAGUGGUUGGGGAUGAGCUCGCGGCCUAUCAGCUUGUUGGUGGGGUAAUGGCCUACCAAGGCGGCGACGGGUAGCCGGCCUGAGAGGGUGGGCGGCCACAUUGGGACUGGGAUACGGCCCAGACUCCUACGGGAGGCAGCAGUGGGGAAUAUUGCACAAUGGGCGGAAGCCUGAUGCAGCGACGCCGCGUGGGGGAUGACGGCCUUCGGGUUGUAAACUCCUUUCGACCGCGAGGAAGCCACCUGGUUGGAAGGGUGGUGACGGUAGUGGUAGAAGAAGCACCGGCUAACUACGUG
This 494-nucleotide ribosomal RNA is filed under the name uncultured bacterium. RNAcentral describes it as "partial 16S ribosomal RNA". It matches the Rfam family "Bacterial small subunit ribosomal RNA", at positions 28 to 507 of the family's 1533-position model. The record is from RNAcentral.